UUUUACCGAGUGGCGGACGGGUGAGUAACGCGUGGGUAACCUGCCUCAUACAGGGGGAUAACGGUUAGAAAUGACUGCUAAUACCGCAUAAGCGCACAGUACCGCAUGGUACGGUGUGAAAAACUCCGGUGGUAUGAGAUGGACCCGCGUCUGAUUAGGUAGUUGGUGGGGUAACGGCCUACCAAGCCGACGAUCAGUAGCCGACCUGAGAGGGUGACCGGCCACAUUGGGACUGAGACACGGCCCAA
RNAcentral lists this ribosomal RNA (248 nucleotides) under uncultured bacterium. RNAcentral describes it as "partial 16S ribosomal RNA". It matches the Rfam family "Bacterial small subunit ribosomal RNA", at positions 86 to 334 of the family's 1533-position model. The record is from RNAcentral.